Molecule: ribosomal RNA, 253 nt
Filed under: uncultured bacterium
Lineage: Bacteria
Description: partial 16S ribosomal RNA
Rfam family: Bacterial small subunit ribosomal RNA
Source: RNAcentral
UACAGAGGUCUCGAGCGUUAGGCGGAAUCACUGGGCUUAAAGCGUGUGUAGGUGGAUGCCUAAGUACCUUGUGAAAUCCCACAGCUUAACUGUGGAACUGCUUGGUAUACUGGGUGUCUUGAGUCACUCAGGGGCGAGCGGAACAAAUGGUGGAGCGGUGAAAUGCGUAGAUAUCAUUUGGCACGCCAAUGGUGAAAACAGCUCGCUGGGGGUGUACUGACACUGAGACACGAAAGCCAGGGGAGCGAACGGG